This 672-nucleotide ribosomal RNA is filed under the name Asilidae sp. MVD1498. RNAcentral describes it as "partial 16S ribosomal RNA". The record is from RNAcentral. Lineage: Eukaryota; Metazoa; Arthropoda; Insecta; Diptera; Asilidae.
AUGUCAACAUGAUCAAAUCUUGGACUUCAAGAUAGAGCCUCUCCUCUUAUAGAACAACUUACAUUUUUCCACGACCACGCCUUAUUAAUUCUUAUCAUAAUUACUAUCCUAGUAGGCUACAUUAUAUCUAUGUUAUUCUUCAACAAAUUCACAAACCGAUAUCUACUACACGGCCAAGCAAUUGAAAUCAUUUGAACUAUCCUUCCAGCCAUCGUUCUACUAUUUAUUGCCUUCCCAUCUCUGCGCCUCCUAUACUUACUAGACGAAAUUAAUGAACCAGUAAUCACCUUAAAAUCAAUUGGACAUCAAUGAUACUGAAGUUAUGAAUAUUCGGACUUCAUUGACUUAGAAUUCGAUUCAUAUAUAGUGCCAACAAAUGAAUUACAAGAAAGCAGCUUCCGAUUAUUGGACGUUGAUAACCGAGUAGUUCUCCCUAUAAAUUCUCAAAUUCGGAUCCUAGUAACAGCAGCAGAUGUAAUUCACUCGUGAACUGUCCCAGCCCUAGGAGUAAAGGUAGACGGAACACCGGGACGGCUAAAUCAAACCAAUUUUUUAAUCAGUCGCCCAGGUGUAUUCUUUGGUCAAUGCUCAGAAAUUUGUGGAGCAAAUCAUAGAUUCAUACCAAUCGUAAUUGAAAGAGUACCAGUUAACUAUUUUAUCAAAUGAAUUCCG